This 90-nucleotide transfer RNA is filed under the name Chloroflexota bacterium. RNAcentral's name for it is "Chloroflexi bacterium tRNA-Ser". It matches the Rfam family "tRNA". From Rfam's summary of the family: Transfer RNA (tRNA) molecules are approximately 80 nucleotides in length. Their secondary structure includes four short double-helical elements and three loops (D, anti-codon, and T loops). Lineage: Bacteria; Bacillati; Chloroflexota. The record is from RNAcentral.
GGAGAGUUGCUGGAGUGGCUGAACAGGCACGACUGGAAAUCGUGUGUACCUUUAUCGGUACCAAGGGUUCGAAUCCCUUCCUCUCCGCCA